Molecule: ribosomal RNA, 496 nt
Filed under: uncultured bacterium
Lineage: Bacteria
Description: partial 16S ribosomal RNA
Rfam family: Bacterial small subunit ribosomal RNA
Source: RNAcentral
GAUGAACGCUGGCGGCGUGCCUAAUACAUGCAAGUCGAGCGAACAGACGAGGAGCUUGCUCCUCUGACGUUAGCGGCGGACGGGUGAGUAACACGUGGAUAACCUACCUAUAAGACUGGGAUAACUUCGGGAAACCGGAGCUAAUACCGGAUAAUAUAUUGAACCGCAUGGUUCAAUAGUGAAAGACGGUUUUGCUGUCACUUAUAGAUGGAUCCGCGCCGCAUUAGCUAGUUGGUAAGGUAACGGCUUACCAAGGCGACGAUGCGUAGCCGACCUGAGAGGGUGAUCGGCCACACUGGACCUGAGACACGGUCCAGACUCCUACGGGAGGCAGCAGUAGGGAAUCUUCCGCAAUGGGCGAAAGCCUGACGGAGCAACGCCGCGUGAGUGAUGAAGGUCUUCGGAUCGUAAAACUCUGUUAUUAGGGAAGAACAAAUGUGUAAGUAACUAUGCACGUCUUGACGGUACCUAAUCAGAAGGCCACGGCUAACUACGU